Molecule: ribosomal RNA, 430 nt
Filed under: uncultured bacterium
Lineage: Bacteria
Description: bacterial SSU rRNA
Rfam family: Bacterial small subunit ribosomal RNA
Source: RNAcentral
UGGGGAAUAUUGGACAAUGGGGGAAACCCUGAUCCAGCAACGCCGCGUGAGGGAAGAAGGCUUUCGGGUUGUAAACCUCUGUCGGAGGGGACGAACCGUAUUGCGGUGAAUAAUCGCAGUACCUGACGGUACCCUCAAAGGAAGCACCGGCUAACUCCGUGCCAGCAGCCGCGGUAAUACGGAGGGUGCUAGCGUUGUUCGGAAUUACUGGGCGUAAAGCGUGUCUCGGUGGACUUGUAAGUCAGAUGUGAAAUUUCCCGGCUUAACCGGAAAGGGUCGUUUGAUACUGCAAGUCUUGAGUUUCGGAGAGGUGGGCGGAAUUCCCAGUGUAGAAGUGAAAUUCGUAGAGAUUGGGAGGAACACCUGAGGCGAAAGCGGCUCACUAGCCGAACACUGACACUCAAGCACGAAAGCGUGGGGAGCAAACAGG